This 497-nucleotide ribosomal RNA is filed under the name uncultured bacterium. Its description in RNAcentral is "partial 16S ribosomal RNA". It matches the Rfam family "Bacterial small subunit ribosomal RNA", at positions 28 to 507 of the family's 1533-position model. The record is from RNAcentral.
GAUGAACGCUGGCGGCGUGCCUAAUACAUGCAAGUCGAGCGAACAGAUGAGGAGCUUGCUCCUCUGACGUUAGCGGCGGACGGGUGAGUAACACGUGGAUAACCUACCUAUAAGACUGGGAUAACUUCGGGAAACCGGAGCUAAUACCGGAUAAUAUAUUGAACCGCAUGGUUCAAUAGUGAAAGACGGUGUUGGUGUCACUUAUAGAUGGAUCCGCGCCGCAUUAGCUAGUUGGUAAGGUAACGGCUUACCAAGGCAACGAUGCGUAGCCGACCUGAGAGGGUGAUCGGCCACACUGGAACUGAGACACGGUCCAGACUCCUACGGGAGGCAGCAGUAGGGAAUCUUCCGCAAUGGGCGAAAGCCUGACGGAGCAACGCCGCGUGAGUGAUGAAGGUCUUCGGAUCGUAAAACUCUGUUAUUAGGGAAGAACAAAUGUGUAAGUAACUAUGCACGUCUUGACGGUACCUAAUCAGAAAGCCACGGCUAACUACGUG